GGGCUCACACAAGCGGUGGAGCAUGUGGCUUAAUUCGAGGCAACGCGAAGAACCUUAUCCUGGGUUUGACAUGUACGGAUGGCUCGCCUGAAAGGGAUGAGUCUGCCUUCGGGUGAAACGUACACAGGUGCUGCAUGGCUGUCGUCAGCUCGUGUCGUGAGAUGUAGGGUUAAGUCCUUAAACGAGCGCAACCCUUGUCCUUAGUUGCCAGCGGGUCAUGCCGGGGACUCUAGGAGACCGCCGGUGUUAAACCGGAGAAGGUGGGGACGACGUCAAGUCAUCAUGGCCUUUAUGCCCCAGGGGCUGCACACGUGCUACAAUGGCCGGUACAGAAAGCAGCCACUAUGCGAAUAGGAGCU
This 359-nucleotide ribosomal RNA is filed under the name uncultured bacterium. RNAcentral's name for it is "bacterial SSU rRNA". It matches the Rfam family "Bacterial small subunit ribosomal RNA", at positions 917 to 1269 of the family's 1533-position model. The record is from RNAcentral.